This 449-nucleotide ribosomal RNA is filed under the name uncultured bacterium. Its description in RNAcentral is "partial 16S ribosomal RNA". It matches the Rfam family "Bacterial small subunit ribosomal RNA", at positions 338 to 795 of the family's 1533-position model. The record is from RNAcentral.
CCUACGGGAGGCUGCAGUGGGGAAUUUUGGACAAUGGGCGCAAGCCUGAUCCAGCCAUUCCGCGUGAGUGAAGAAGGCCUUCGGGUUGUAAAGCUCUUUCGCAAGGGAAGAAAACUUAUCCUCUAACAUAGGAUGAGGUUGACGGUACCUUGAUAAGAAGCACCGGCUAACUACGUGCCAGCAGCCGCGGUAAUACGUAGGGUGCGAGCGUUAGUAGGAAGUGCUGGGGGUAAUUCGUAAGCCAGCUGUUAAAUCCCCGAGCUGAACUUGGGAACUGCGUUUGAAACGACAAGACUAGAAUAGGUCAGAGGGGGGUAGAAUCCCACGUGUAGCAGUGAAAUGCGUAGAGAUGUGGAGGAAUAUCAAUGGCGAAGGCAGCCCCCUGGGAUCAUAUUGACGCUCAUGCACGAAAGCGUGGGGAGCAAACAGGAUUAGAUACCCUGGUAGUC